This is a small RNA of Clostridium argentinense CDC 2741, 66 nucleotides long. It matches the Rfam family "RAGATH-18 RNA". From Rfam's summary of the family: Actinobacteria, Firmicutes, Fusobacteria, Thermotogae (1 example). Nearby to self-cleaving ribozyme genes NCBI's taxonomy places the organism in Bacteria, Bacillati, Bacillota, Clostridia, Eubacteriales, Clostridiaceae. The record is from Rfam.
ACUAUGGAGUGUUAUAUCAAAUGAAAGUAGUUCUAUAGAACAAAAUCAGACACGUUGAAGUAGUAA